Molecule: ribosomal RNA, 400 nt
Filed under: Rhizobium leguminosarum
Lineage: Bacteria; Pseudomonadati; Pseudomonadota; Alphaproteobacteria; Hyphomicrobiales; Rhizobiaceae
Description: bacterial SSU rRNA
Rfam family: Bacterial small subunit ribosomal RNA
Source: RNAcentral
UGGCUCAGAACGAACGCUGGCGGCAGGCUUAACACAUGCAAGUCGAGCGCCCCGCAAGGGGAGCGGCAGACGGGUGAGUAACGCGUGGGAAUCUACCCUUGACUACGGAAUAACGCAGGGAAACUUGUGCUAAUACCGUAUGUGUCCUUCGGGAGAAAGAUUUAUCGGUCAAGGAUGAGCCCGCGUUGGAUUAGCUAGUUGGUGGGGUAAAGGCCUACCAAGGCGACGAUCCAUAGCUGGUCUGAGAGGAUGAUCAGCCACAUUGGGACUGAGACACGGCCCAAACUCCUACGGGAGGCAGCWGUGGGGAAUAUUGGACAAUGGGCGCAAGCCUGAUCCAGCCAUGCCGCGUGAGUGAUGAAGGCCCUAGGGUUGUAAAGCUCUUUCACCGGAGAAGAUA